Molecule: ribosomal RNA, 407 nt
Filed under: uncultured bacterium
Lineage: Bacteria
Description: partial 16S ribosomal RNA
Rfam family: Bacterial small subunit ribosomal RNA
Source: RNAcentral
GACGAACGCUGGCGGCGUGCCUAAUACAUGCAAGUAGAACGCAGUUGCGAACGGGUGAGUAACGCGUAGGUAACUGCCUGGUAGCGGGGGAUAACAAUUGUAAACGAUAGCUAAUACCGCAUACUACCAGAUGGACCUGCGUUGUAUUAGCUAUUUGGUGGGGUAACGGCUCACCAAGGCAACGAUACAUAGCCGACCUGAGGGGGGGAUCGGGCAAAAUGGGACUGAGACACGGCCCAGACUCCUACGGGAGUCAAGAGUAGGGAAUCUUCGGCAAUGGGGGGAACGCUGAACGAACAACGCCGGGUGGGUGAAGAAGGUUUUCGGAUCGUAAAGCUCUGUUGUUAAGGAAGCGGUACUUAACCAGAAAGGGACGGCUAACUACGUGCCAGCCGCCGCGGUAAUAC